This 257-nucleotide ribosomal RNA is filed under the name uncultured Gardnerella sp. RNAcentral's name for it is "partial 16S ribosomal RNA". It matches the Rfam family "Bacterial small subunit ribosomal RNA", at positions 99 to 354 of the family's 1533-position model. Lineage: Bacteria; Bacillati; Actinomycetota; Actinomycetes; Bifidobacteriales; Bifidobacteriaceae. The record is from RNAcentral.
CGAACGGGUGAGUAAUGCGUGACCAACCUGCCCCAUGCUCCAGAAUAGCUCUUGGAAACGGGUGGUAAUGCUGGAUGCUCCAACUUGACGCAUGUCUUGUUGGGAAAGUGUUUAGUGGCAUGGGAUGGGGUCGCGUCCUAUCAGCUUGUAGGCGGGGUAAUGGCCCACCUAGGCUUCGACGGGUAGCCGGCCUGAGAGGGCGGACGGCCACAUUGGGACUGAGAUACGGCCCAGACUCCUACGGGAGGCAGCAGGGC